GACGAACGCUGGCGGCGCGCUUAACACAUGCAAGUCGAGCGAGAACCAGGCUUCGGCCUGGGGAAAGCGGCGAACGGGUGAGUAACACGUGGGUAACCCACCCUUGGCACUGGGAUAGCCCGAGGAAACUCGGAUUAAUACCGGAUGGCCCAACAGCUCUUCGGAGCGGUUGGAAAAGGUAGCUUCGGCCUCCGGCCAAGGACGGGCCCGCGGCGGAUUAGCUUGUUGGUGGGGUAACGGCCCACCAAGGCGACGAUCCGUAGCUGGUCUGAGAGGACGAUCAGCCACACUGGGACUGAGACACGGCCCAGACUCCUACGGGAGGCAGCAGUGGGGAAUCUUGCGCAAUGGGCGAAAGCCUGACGCAGCGACGCCGCGUGGGGGAAGAAGGCUUUCGGGUUGUAAACCCCUUUCAGGAGGGACGAAGCCACUCGGGUGAAUAGCCCAGAGGGUGACGGUACCUCCAGAAGAAGCCCCGGCUAACUACGUGCCAGCCGCCGCAGUAA
RNAcentral lists this ribosomal RNA (506 nucleotides) under uncultured bacterium. Its description in RNAcentral is "partial 16S ribosomal RNA". It matches the Rfam family "Bacterial small subunit ribosomal RNA", at positions 28 to 523 of the family's 1533-position model. The record is from RNAcentral.